UUUUAUUGCUUAUUUUCAUUAUAUAAACCGUAAUUUUUCGAAUGAAAUGCAAUCAGGGAAUAUUUUCGAAAGGUAUAAGCUGAUUAUUAUUCUUCUUCUUCAAAAUCAUGAAAGCUUUUUAUGAUAUUUUGAUAAUCUUACUCUUUUGUACCAUGUUCAAUUUGAAUGAAUCAAUAACUAUAAAUGUUAAAUGUACUGCACCCCAACAAUGUUUAAAACCGUGUAAAAAAGCUUUCGGAAUGUCUGCAG
Centruroides sculpturatus (bark scorpion) is the source of this 249-nucleotide long non-coding RNA. RefSeq lists it as uncharacterized. The transcript is spliced from 3 exons. The record is from RefSeq and is a predicted model, not a curated record. Lineage: Eukaryota; Metazoa; Arthropoda; Arachnida; Scorpiones; Buthidae.